This is a non-coding RNA of Sinocyclocheilus rhinocerous, 73 nucleotides long. The record is from the annotation of a RefSeq genome assembly. NCBI's taxonomy places the organism in Eukaryota, Metazoa, Chordata, Actinopteri, Cypriniformes, Cyprinidae.
GGCUCUGUGCCGCAAUGGAUAGCGCAUUGGACUUCUAAUUCAAAGGUUGUGGGUUCGAGUCCCACCAGAGUCG